UCAACCUUCCAAAAAGAAACCCUAGAUAGAUCAACUAUGAAAGGAAACCCUACUAGACCUGUACCCAAAAAUCAGUAGCCCUCAAGAGAUUUGUGAGUGAACAUGGAGCAAACAUAGAUUAUAGAGCAACAUGCUCCAAUACCAUGUUAAACAACAUAAAAUAGCUUUCAUACUAUGUCAAGUAACAUAAAACAAAAUAGCAAAUCAAGGAGAAAAUAAGAAGAAGACGCUACAAAAGAAUACACCUCCAGUGGCAAUUCAAGAAGUGGAUAUAGGUCAGUUGCUGCUAAUAAUACUAAUAUAUAGCGGUAGUCACUUAAAACUGCCGCUAAAAACAUUGUUGACUACCGCUAUAAGGUUGGCAUCAAAUUUCCUUUUCUCCUCCCCCGCGUAAAUCCCUAAACAUCUCUCUCUCUCUCUCCUUUCUCACAAUCGGAGAAUGAUAUCGGUCAAAUCUUCUCACAAUCGAAUGGGAACCAAAGGGCAAUCUCAAUCUUGACUUUCUUGCAACCAGAGAACAACCUCGGUCUGGAUUUUCUCACAAAUGGACGACAACCAAAGGGUGACCUCGAUCUUGACUUUCUCAGCACCAAAUAAACAACCAAAUAUCGACAUUAACAUGUUGCAUUUAGGACAAAGGUUUUCCACCCAAAUAUUAACAGCAAUGGCAGUAUUUAUCUUAACAUAUUGGAGCAGUGGGGCCCUGCCCUGACUAUUUCCAAGUUUCUAAAGGUGGAGAGUGGAAGUUUUCCUCCUACACUACAUGGUUAAAAAGUCAGCACCCAAAAUAGAUGGAGAUUUAUUCUGUGAAUGCAAGGUUGUUCAGCCUCUAUGACUGCUAAUAGUUCAGUUGAUGAUGAGGAAAACUCGGGACCCAUGUUGGAAUGAAGAAUUCCAGUUCAUGCUAGAACAAGCCCCUUUAAAUUAGAAGCUCCAUAUUAAAGUCAUUGGUAAGCGGGCAUGCUUAGGUUUCAGAGGAAAGGAAUCAUUGGGACAUGUGGACAUCAAUCUUACAGACAUUGUGAACAAUGUCUAGCAGCAGCUCAAGUGGCUAUUUGAGAGAGGAGUCAAUCAAGGAACAUAAAGCAAGACCUCUUGCUGUUUUAGAUAACUUUAUAUGCAGGAAUUAUGUAAAUAAAUAUGGGUUUUGAAAGGAGUCAACCAAUUGCAAGUGUCUUGAGUUUUGAGAAUGGAUGAUGAAAUUUGUAUUAGAGAAUGUAUUAAUUUGUGAUUCAAAUGUUUUUUUUGUAGAAAAAUAUUUUG
Molecule: long non-coding RNA, 1263 nt
Organism: Nelumbo nucifera (sacred lotus)
Lineage: Eukaryota; Viridiplantae; Streptophyta; Magnoliopsida; Proteales; Nelumbonaceae
Source: RefSeq, a predicted model, not a curated record